GACGUAGGGCGCGAGCGUUGUCCGGAUUUAUUGGGCGUAAAGAGCUCGUAGGCGGCUUGUUGCGUCGACUGUGAAAACCCGCGGCUUAACUGCGGGCUUGCAGUUGAUACGGGCAGGCUAGAGUUCGGUAGGGGAGAUUGGAAUUCCUGGUGUAGCGGUGGAAUGCGCAGAUAUCAGGAGGAACACCGAUGGCGAAGGCAGAUCUCUGGGCCGUAACUGACGCUGAGGAGCGAAAGCGUGGGGAGCGAACAGG
This 253-nucleotide ribosomal RNA is filed under the name uncultured bacterium. RNAcentral describes it as "partial 16S ribosomal RNA". It matches the Rfam family "Bacterial small subunit ribosomal RNA", at positions 524 to 776 of the family's 1533-position model. The record is from RNAcentral.